Molecule: ribosomal RNA, 477 nt
Filed under: uncultured soil bacterium
Lineage: Bacteria
Description: bacterial SSU rRNA
Rfam family: Bacterial small subunit ribosomal RNA
Source: RNAcentral
AGGACGAACGCUGGCGGCGUGCUUAACACAUGCAAGUCGAGCGGUAAGGCUCCUUCGGGAGUACACGAGCGGCGAACGGGUGAGUAACACGUGAGCAAUCUGCCCUUCACAUCGGGAUAACCCCCGGAAACGGGAGCUAAUACCGGAUACGACCACUUCAGGCAUCUGAUGGUGGUGGAAAGUUCUGGCGGUGAAGGAUGAGCUCGCGGCCUAUCAGCUUGUGGUGAGGUAACGGCCCACCAAGGCUUCGACGGGUAGCCGGCCUGAGAGGGUGACCGGGCCACGACUGGGACUGAGACACGGCCAGACUCCACGGGAGCAGCAGUGGGAAUAUGGACAAUGGGACGAAAGCCUGAUCCAGCAACGCCGCGUGAGGGAUGGACGGUCCGUUGGGUUACGUAAACCUCUUUCAGCGCAGACGAAGCGAAAGUGACGGUAUCGACGCGAAGAAGAACGCGAACCGGACCAAACGUACGU